This is a non-coding RNA of Apodemus sylvaticus (European woodmouse), 1987 nucleotides long. NCBI's taxonomy places the organism in Eukaryota, Metazoa, Chordata, Mammalia, Rodentia, Muridae. The record is from the annotation of a RefSeq genome assembly.
AUGUGUGUUUGUGUGUGUGUGUGUGUGGUGGGUGUGUCUAACACAUACAUAUUUCCUGUUUUAUUCUGAGCUCAUAUUCAUCUUUUUACGACAACCUAACCUUCUCUAUCUUAAGAGAUUUGUAUUCGCACACUCCAGUGGCUCAUAAAAUGAACUCUUGUCCUGAACUGGUGAUUGUACUCUUUUUAAUGAUUGGAGAAAGCAAUGGAGACUCGGUGACUCAGACAGAAGGCCAAGUGACACUGUCUGAAGGGACUUCUCUGACUGUGAACUGUUCCUAUGAAACCAGACAGUACCCAGUCCUGUUCUGGUAUGUGCAGUAUCCCGGAGAAGGCCCACAGCUCCUCUUUAAAGUCCUAAAGGCCAAUGAGAAGGGAAGCAGCAGAGGUUUUGAAGCUACCUAUGAUGAAGGAACCACCUCCUUCCACUUGCGGAAAGCCUCGGUGCAGGAGUCAGACUCGGCUGUGUACUACUGUGCUCUGAGAGACACAGUGGCAGAAACCACAGUGGAAGCUGAGCAUAAACUCUGAGAAGCAUGGAGCUGGCUGCUGAGUGUGUUGCAGUCACUUAGGGACCAUGGGCAGGACCGUUGUUGAUACCACACAUAAAAGCAUCUAAUUAACAUUACGAUCACAUUAGGAGAACAGGAAGGAAGCAAGCUAUAUUUUAGGCUUAAUCAGAGAGAAUGAAGGCAGUCACAUAUCACGGUGAUUUCCUACUUUGCUUUUGAUUUGUGAGAGGGAACUUUAUGUAGUCCAGGAUGGCCUUGAAUAAUUUGUGAACCUGAGGUUGGCUCUGAACUCUUCUUUCUGUCUAAAUCUACAGUGGGCUAGAGUUACAUGCAUGAACCACCAUACUAGGCUGAAUUUGUGAUUUCUUAAAUACAGAAUCUCUUGUGGAAUGAAACUAUGUGUCCAUCAUCAUUGAUAAUCCUAACUCUUGGAACCUGAUUCAUGCCAUUCGUGGAAUUAUCAUGUGUGACACAAGACAUGGCUUAUGAGGCUGCCUGUGUUCCACACCUUCCUGGCAAAGUGCAAUAAGAAAGGGCUAUUUCUUUUUCCCCUUUCAAGAUCUAAUAAUUUAUUUAUCUGUUACUUGUAAAGAUUUUUAUGUUUGACUGAAUUUAAAAGUAGAGGCUUUCAGUGGAGACAGUUCACAUCUUGUGAAAAUAUGUUCCUGCCAUUUUUAUUUGGUUCCCUCCAUUCUUUUGGCCAAAAAAAAAAAAAAAAAAAAAAAAAAAAAGAAAGAAAAAAAAAGUCUAGCAUAUUCUGCAGCAUCUUCCUUAAGUCUCUAGUGUGUUUCUUUUUCACUGUAAUCUGUCAGCAGUUGUGAUACACAUGGAGUAAAAAGAUCCUGAAUGUUGGAUGCUUUGGUCCUAGGGGAAAAAGUGAAUUAAGAUGAAGAGAUGAGUGUGUACAAUUCUGAUUACAGGUCAAGUACAGGGAACUGAAUUAAGCACUGGAAAAGCUGGAAGUGACAUUGUUGGGAGAAAGAAACUUGGAUUGUGGAUUUAGGAGACAACAGAGAUUAAAAAUUAGGCAAACUGUUUCAAAGAGAUUCGUCGACCUUGAGGAAAACUAGGCACCAAUGCACAGAUAUUCACAUGUUAAUGGAAGAUGCAUUCCUUCUUUCUGUAGUAUAUUACAAAAGCUGAAAUGAAUCAUAGACCUAAAAUGUAACAUCCAAGUAUGAAUCAUUACAUAUCAAAAAUGUAUUAAUUUUGGAUGGUGGGUCCUACCCAAUAUGGAAGCGUUAGAGGACAGACUGAAGGAGCUAAAGGGAUUGCAAUCCCAUAGGAAGAAUAACACUGUCAACUAACUCAGACCCCUCAGAGCUCCCAGAGUCUAAGCUAAAAACCACGGAGCAGACAUGGCCUGGUGUGUGGCCCUGGGCACAUGUGUAGCAGAGGACUACCUUUUAUGGCCUCAGUGGGAGAAGAUGCACUUAAUCCUGUGGAAGCUUGAUGCCCCUGGAAGGAGGGGUGCUG